This 427-nucleotide ribosomal RNA is filed under the name uncultured bacterium. RNAcentral's name for it is "partial 16S ribosomal RNA". It matches the Rfam family "Bacterial small subunit ribosomal RNA", at positions 355 to 774 of the family's 1533-position model. The record is from RNAcentral.
UGGGGAAUAUUGCGCAAUGGGCGAAAGCCUGACGCAGCGACGCCGCGUGGAGGAUGAAGGUCUUAGGAUUGUAAACUCCUGUCGGAUGGAAAGAAAAGUUUGUAUUUAAUAGAUACAAAAUAUGACGGUACCAUCAGAGGAAGCACCGGCUAACUUCGUGCCAGCAGCCGCGGUAAUACGAAGGGUGCAAGCGUUAUUCGGAAUCACUGGGCGUAAAGGGUGUGUAGACGGUUCAUUAAGUUCGUUGUUAAAGGCUCUGGCCUAACCGGAGUAUUGCGAUGAAAACUGGUGAGCUAGAGAGUGAGAGAGAGAAGUGGAAUUCCCGGAGUAGCGGUAAAAUGCGUGGAUCUCGGGAGGAACACCAAUGGCGAAGGCAGCUUCUUGGCUCAUUUCUGACGUUGAGGCACGAAAGCGUGGGGAGCAAACA